Molecule: signal recognition particle RNA, 360 nt
Filed under: Acanthochromis polyacanthus (spiny chromis)
Lineage: Eukaryota; Metazoa; Chordata; Actinopteri; Pomacentridae
Description: Metazoan signal recognition particle RNA (ENSAPOG00000015908.1)
Rfam family: Metazoan signal recognition particle RNA
About the family: The signal recognition particle (SRP) is a universally conserved ribonucleoprotein. It is involved in the co-translational targeting of proteins to membranes.
Source: RNAcentral
ACCGGGAGGCUGAGGCUGGAGGAUCGUUUGAGCUCAGGAGCUCUGAGCUGUAGUGGACUAUGCCGAUCGGGUGUCCGCACUAAGUUCGGUAUCGAUAUGGUGCUCCUGGGGGAGCCCGGGACCACCAGGUCGUCUAAGGAGGGGUGCACCGGCCCAGGUCGGAGACGNUGUCCGCACUAAGUUCGGUAUCGAUAUGGUGUUCCUGGGGGAGCCCGGGACCACCAGGUCGUCUAAGGAGGGGUGCACCGGCCCAGGUCGGAGACGGAGCAGGUCAAAGCCCCCGUGCCGCUCAGUAGUGGGAUCGCGCCUGUGAGUAGAAGCUGUAGUGAAGCCUGAGUAAUACAGCGGGACCCAGUCUUU